UCCCUGGCAGUCCAGUUGUUAGGACUCAGUGCUCUCACUGCUGAGGGCCUGGGUUCAAUCCCUGGUUGGGGAA
This 73-nucleotide transfer RNA is filed under the name Bos taurus (domestic cattle). It matches the Rfam family "tRNA". Rfam says of the family: Transfer RNA (tRNA) molecules are approximately 80 nucleotides in length. The record is from Rfam by way of RNAcentral. RNAcentral also lists the same sequence under 5 other names. Lineage: Eukaryota; Metazoa; Chordata; Mammalia; Artiodactyla; Bovidae.